GCUAUCUGCAGUCGACGAACUCUGGUUUGAUUGGUGCUUGCAUCAUGAUUUACAUUUGACUGUGUGGCGAACUGGUGAGUAACACGUGGGAAACCUGCCCAGAAGCGGGGGAUAACACCUGGAAACAGAUGCUAAUACCGCAUAACAACUUGGACCGCAUGGUCCGAGUUUGAAAGAUGGCUUCGGCUAUCACUUUUGGAUGGUCCCGCGGCGUAUUAGCUAGAUGGUGGGGUAACGGCUCACCAUGGCAAUGAUACGUAGCCGACCUGAGAGGGUAAUCGGCCACAUUGGGACUGAGACACGGCCCAAACUCCUACGGGAGGCAGCAGUAGGGAAUCUUCCACAAUGGACGAAAGUCUGAUGGAGCAACGCCGCGUGAGUGAAGAAGGGUUUCGGCUCGUAAAACUCUGUUGUUAAAGAAGAACAUAUCUGAGAGUAACUGUUCAGGUAUUGACGGUAUUUAACCAGAAAGCCACGGCUAACUACGUGCCAGCAGCCGCGGUAAUACGUAGGUGGCAAGCGUUGUCCGGAUUUAUUGGGCGUAAAGCGAGCGCAGGCGGUUUUUUAAGUCUGAUGUGAAAGCCUUCGGCUCAACCGAAGAAGUGCAUCGGAAACUGGGAAACUUUGAGUGCAGAAAGAAGACAGUGAAACUCCAUGUGUAGCGGUGAAAUUGCGUAGAAUAUAUUGGAAAGAACACCAGUGGCGAAGGGCGGCUGUCUGGUCUGGAAACUGACGCUGAGGCUCGAAAGUAUGGGUAGCAAACAGGAUUAGAUACCCUGGUAGUCCAUACCGUAAACGAUGAAUGCUAAGUGUUGGAGGGUUUCCGCCCUUCAGUGCUGCAGCUAACGCAUUAAGCAUUCCGCCUGGGGAGUACGGCCGCAAGGCUGAAACUCAAAGGAAUUGACGGGGGCCCGCACAAGCGGUGGAGCAUGUGGUUUAAUUCGAAGCUACGCGAAGAACCUUACCAGGUCUUGACAUACUAUGCAAAUCUAAGAGAUUAGACGUUCCCUUCGGGGACAUGGAUACAGGUGGUGCAUGGUUGUCGUCAGCUCGUGUCGUGAGAUGUUGGGUUAAGUCCCGCAACGAGCGCAACCCUUAUUAUCAGUUGCCAGCAUUAAGUUGGGCACUCUGGUGAGACUGCCGGUGACAAACCGGAGGAAGGUGGGGAUGACGUCAAAUCAUCAUGCCCCUUAUGACCUGGGCUACACACGUGCUACAAUGGAUGGUACAACGAGUUGCGAACUCGCGAGAGUAAGCUAAUCUCUUAAAGCCAUUCUCAGUUCGGAUUGUAGGCUGCAACUCGCCUACAUGAAGUCGGAAUCGCUAGUAAUCGCGGAUCAGCAUGCCGCGGUGAAUACGUUCCCGGGCCUUGUACACACCGCCCGUCACACCAUGAGAGUUUGUAACACCCAAAGUCGGUGGGGUAACCUUUUAGGAACCAGCCGCCUAAGGUGGGACAGAUGAUUAGGGUGAAGUCGAA
This 1480-nucleotide ribosomal RNA is filed under the name Lactiplantibacillus pentosus. Its description in RNAcentral is "bacterial SSU rRNA". It matches the Rfam family "Bacterial small subunit ribosomal RNA". Lineage: Bacteria; Bacillati; Bacillota; Bacilli; Lactobacillales; Lactobacillaceae. The record is from RNAcentral.